Molecule: non-coding RNA, 45 nt
Filed under: Schistosoma mattheei
Lineage: Eukaryota; Metazoa; Platyhelminthes; Trematoda; Strigeidida; Schistosomatidae
Source: RNAcentral
AUCUAGCUGACGUGUCUGAAAUAGGACGAAACGCGCGUCCCGGAU